Molecule: long non-coding RNA, 3283 nt
Organism: Quercus robur (English oak)
Lineage: Eukaryota; Viridiplantae; Streptophyta; Magnoliopsida; Fagales; Fagaceae
Exons: 3
Source: RefSeq, a predicted model, not a curated record
UGCUUCCCUAACUCUGUCACUUCUUUGCUACAAAGAAAAUCCAUACUAUCCUCUAAUGAGCAAAUAUUUGUUCAAUUUCAUCACUAAUAGCGGUCAAAAGUGUCGCUGUUGAUGGAGCGCUUGAAGUGGGUAUUGAUGAAUCCAAGCUUUGAUUAGUUUGACCCAUGGCUUUGAAAUGCAGAAAUAUCUAAGGCAGUCCAUUGUGCAGGGAAAGAGAGCAGAUUUCGUCGGAACCAUACACCGAACAGGAAAAACAAUCCCCUUCACUCCAUAUUUGGAAGGUACACAUUGAAUUUUUCUGGAACUUCUUACCGACGAAGAGAGAAAUAUCCAAGGCUGGCCAUCACCAUUAGUUUCCCCACCACCGUCCGUUCCCUUUCCAGAUUCAGACCAUCAGAUUGCCGGAACUAACAUCAACAACGGUUUUUCUGCCAAAAUACGGUUGAGAGAGAGAUACGUUGCAGAAAUACAAGGAGAACCGAGAAAGAGAACAAUAGAGAGAGAGAGAUUCGAUCUGUCUCAAUUUCUCUCAAGAUUAGAAUUCACAUAAAGGCCUACUUCCUCCCAACGUCUACCGUCCUUUCAGAACUGCUACUGGUCUUUUAGAAGAAGUAACAUGGAUCUCUUUGGGUUAUGCUUUUCAAUUUGUUCAAUCUAUCACUCUUUUGAAGAAUCAGGUAUUAACUUCAAACAAUGGGUAUGACCUUUUUAAUAGUUUGUUGAAUUCAUUUUUUUCCCAAUUUAUUACACAUGGUACAAUCUUAGGUAUCAUACAAAAAUAAAAAUAAAAAUAAAUAAAUAAAAAUGCCUCUUCAAAUGUGGCAUCAUGAUCAUGUGAGCAGGAUGUGUAUUCUAUUCAUGAUAUGUUGCAAUCAAAUUGUAUUCUAAGCAUGCACCACAACUGUGUAUUAUCCAUACUCUUAAGAGGAUUGACUCUAUAUACCUUAUGUGCCUACUUUGCUAUAAUGGAUGUGGUUUAGUAUGGUGUGACUAGGCGCCAUGCAUUUUGAGUCUCAUUUGAGACUAACUUUGAGAGUUAAGAAUACUAUUUUUUGAGAAAUGAAUACAAGAAAUGCACUUAACAAAUAGGAGUACAUUAAUAGAAAAGACAUUCCGAAAGCCUCAAAAAUUAUUUGCAAAAAAAAUUGUAAAACCCAGGUAGAAUCAAAUGCAUGGUAAUGUUUAUUUGCAAUGGUAAAUAUACGCAUCACUUUAUCAUGCAUAGCGGUAAUAUUUAUUUUUCAUGACUUCUAUUUGUUCAGAGUUUAGGAAAAAAAAAAUUGUUUUAGCCAGAAGGAGAUGAUUGUUGAGAGAUUGAAUACAUACUGGAUUACUUUCAGAUAUGAUUUGUUAGUUUUAUGUGUUUUCUGUUAAAAUAAAAAUAUAUGGGAAAAGUUGUGUGCUUCAUAUUUGCUUAAGUUGGUAGAAGUCUUGAUGGUGAUAAAUGUUUGUUUGUCAAGGUUCAGCAAAGGUGAGUGUAGACUUAUUGACAAUUUUUUUUCAAAAUGAAAUUGGAAGUAGGAACAAACAAAGAAAUAGCAAAGAUUUUGUUAAAAACUAUGUUACUUCAUAUCAAGGGAUUAUUUAUUUAAUAUGGUUGUAUGAUUAUUUCCUGCCAUUUUAAAAAACCUUUUUACCCUUUCAAUUUUUGUUGAAAUUCAGAUUUGCUGAGUUUUCCCUGUCAAUUAUGAAACUUAAUAAUUCAUGAAUAUGCCAAAUUUCAACUUGGAUGGUUUAAGAUCUAAAAGUUUAGACUGUAUAGUUAUGGGUUUACCCUCUUUCUAUUGAUGUUACGAUCUGAGAUUAUUACAUCUGGAAGUUAUUUUGCGUUGCUGGAAUUUUGCUCAUGAAGAACAUGAAAAGGCAUAUAUUUUAGAAGAUGAUUCAGGUAUUGUUGCUUUGGUAUAUGAAUAAAAAUAAUUAAUUAUUGAAUGAGUUUUGAAUUUUUUUUAUUUACAUAUUCUGGAGUAUUUAAUAAAACCCAAUUUCUUGAUAUGUUAAGUGCUAUUUGGGAAGAAAAGAAAGUAGUUUGUACCACUUGAGAAAUUUCCUUUUAAUGUUGUUUGUUCAGAAUUGGAUAUGUGUUCUUCUUUCUACUAUGCAUUCUAAAUUUUUUAUUUUUUGUGGAAAAGGGUCAAAAAGAAAGAAAUAAACUAAAGAAUAGAGGACAUGGUGUGUGUAUAGUGUCUUAGGUAAAUUUGGAGAACUAUGUUGAAUCAUUCAUACACUAAGAAGUUUUUUUCCCUGCCUAAAAAAAAGAAACAAGAAAUUAAGCCAAAAAUAAUAGUCUAUCUGAAGUGAAGGAAAUGUCUAUACUUGGUGAAAAAAAGGAAUUUUACCUUUGUUCUCUCAUGUAAAAAGUUAAGAAACAGAAAAUAUCCAAACUACUUGAUGUGUUUAAAUUUGUUAAAGAUGAGAUUUUAGAUGCAAUUCCUCCAGCAUGUAUGUGCUUCAACUUUGGACAUUAGUUUAGUAAAAAAUUUCUUGACACUAUAGUGCUUAUGACCAUUACACACUUGAAACUUCCAUGGAGGAGAUUUGGUGGCUAGGAUUAUAAGAUGCAUUCUUAGAAUUCAGACUACAAAAGAUUGAGAAAAGUGUAACUUGGCGGAGAAAAAAUAUGAAUUUGUUUUUCUUUUCCAAUUUUGUUUUAGGUUCUUUUCUGGUUUUCAACCUUUCAUAGAUUUAAUUUAGAGUGUUUCUUCCGAUAGAUAUUAAAAUAUUGUUUCUUUGUUUUUAUACAUUGGAAUUUUACCUUAUAUUAUUAUUGAAUACGUUCUUCUUAAUUUUCGUCAUUGUUAUAGAUUAGCAAAAAUAGUUUGAGUGGAUUAUGUAUGGAAGUGCACUUCUACUAAAGAAAACAAUUUUUGAAAUGUGGAGCUCAAAAGGUUUUAUUAGCUUCUAUCAUUUUAAAGGUUACAUUUACACGUGGACAACAAUCAUCCAUUUAGCACACCAAAGAAUCCAUUUUGUUCUUAUUGUGUAUACCUUUGUAGUUGGCAUGUUCAAGAUGGACAAAAUAAAAAAAUAAUGCAUUUGAGAAGAUAUGUAUUUGUCAUAAUUUUUUUUUCCAAGUGCUAUUGUGCUAUAGUUUUUACAGGUGAAUGAUGAUGGCCCAAUUCAUCCAAGUGAAACAGAGUUGGCACUUACAAUUCAUCAGGGCUAGAAUAUGGCUUAGCUCACUAAAUGUUUUUUGGGUUAAUGAGUUCUUAGAAUUUUUUUUUUGCGAUGGGGAAUUUUGGACUUUUGACAAUGUUAUUAAUCCUAACUCUAUAUCCCACAA